AUUAUUAUUAUUAUUAUUAUUUACCAAUUGGGGUUUACACUUCUGCUCUUGAUUGGAUGAAAUCAUAUGGAGCUGUGAACUGUCUGAGAUAAGGGAAAGGAAAUUGGAAUUUCUGUUUUUAGGAAACAGGCAUUUCUUUCUGUGGAAUUGGGAUUUUGAAGUAGGAAGAUUUCGUUACAUUUCUUCAAUAGAAGAUUAGUCAGUUCAGUAGCUUUUGCAGGAUGUUGCCUUGUGUUGUCAGUGAGAAUUAAGCGUUUGCUUUUUCUUCUUCUUAGUGCUGGUGAGCUAGUAUAGUUAGUAAAAAUGGAAGAGGAGAUGUUAUAUGUAGAAGGGACCAGUAUGUGUAUGGGUGAUGGGGUUAACUCUGAGGACUCCUACUGUGCUGAAAUGGAAAUCGAAGAGAAUGAAAUUGGAAGUCCAAAGAAUGAAAUUCAACGGUUGACAUCAGAAAAAGGUGAGGGAAGUAAUGUGGUUUUCUCAAGAGAAGGACCCCUUGUAAGUAAAGAGUCAAGAAGGUGUGGUGUGUAUCGUUGUGGUGCAAAGAAACUCAAGUCACAUGUGGUUGUAAUUGAGUCUGAGAUUGGCAAUAAAGAGAAUAUUGGCCAUGACAGGAAACUUACUAAGCAAGACAGGAUUGAUUUAGGUCGGUUGUUUCAAGGUGCUGUGAGUUCGCAUGAUUGGGAGCUUGCUGAGAGUCUGAUUCUGUUGGCAGAUCCACAGACCCUUAAUGAUACCUUAUGCAUCACUCUGGACUCUAUUUGGUUUUUGAGCACACAGCAAGAGCUUCAUGGGAUAACUGGAUUGAUCAAGAAGAUUAUUGCCAAUGGCGCUUAUGACUUCACUAGAGCUGCUCUGAGGACUUCAUUUCUGGCUUCGUGUGUCUCUGCCUGCCAGAGCCGAACAAUGAGUCUUGCAGAUACUGUAACUGUAAUGGCUCAAAGGUAUGUUUUACAUAGACUAAACAAAAGGAAGGAUUUAACAAUCUCAUUUCUUAUGGUUUGGAACAAUGGGCGUUUUGUUUUCCAAUUAUGUGGAUAUAUUUGGAAGUCAUUUAUGAGACCCAAAACUCGAUCAAUCCUCAUGCCUGUGUGUAUAUACAUGCAUGCAUGCUUGCAUAAAUGCUUGCAGAAAAGCUUGCUUUAUUGUUAUUAUCUUUCUGUUUGUUUUGACUUUGGAGUUCUGUGGUUUAUUGUUAAUCUUAUUCUUGUGCCUAUUUAUUAUUCUUGUUGUAUGUGGUACCUUUUGUUGGUAUUUUGUAGGGCUGUAAACAAACCAAGCUGUUCGCCAGUUGCUCGAGACUCAGUUUGGCUCGGCUUUUUUAGAAAAUGAGUCUAGCUCGAGGUUGAGCUCGAUUUUUAGGCUCAUUUAAUAAACAAGCCGAGUUCAAGUUUAGUAGUAUUCGGCUCGUUAAGACUCGUGAACCGGCUUAUUUACAGGCUCGCGAGCAAAUUCAUGAACAAGCUUGCUGCAUGAGCGUCUCCAAGAAUGCAAUGGGGAUGAGGUCUUGAAGGCAGAAGCUGGUGCCAAGGUUCAAAAGUUCACUGAAUGGGCUUUGAAAUGCAUAGGCUUUCAUUCUCGUUGCCAGGGGAACAGGGAAAGAGUGAGUCAUAACUCUGCCAUUGAGAUUCAACUUCAAUUAUCUGCAUUCAAGACAUUUUUAGACCUAGCUGGCAAUCAACUAACAGGGAAGGAUUUCACAGAAGCCUUUGAUGCAGCUUGUUUUCCUCUUACUUUAUUCUCUAGUUCAUUUGAUCCUGGCUGGGCAUCUGGGAUAUCGGCUACUGCAAUCCAAGGAUUGUUGGGUAUGCUAGUUGAAGGGGGGGCAGACAAUGUCAACCAGUGUUUUCUUGAAGCCUCUCGUUUUGGAAGUACAGAACUCGUGCGCAUCUUAUUGCAGAUUGCCCAAAGGAACAGCUUGGAUGUUGAUGUUGAUCUGGCCCUUGGUUUUGCUUCUCAUUACUGCAAAAUUGGCACAAUGGAAUGUCUAGUUGAAGAGGGGAAUGCUAUAGCUUUCUUGGGCCCUUUGAUGAGAGCAGCAGAAAGGGGCUGUAUGCAGGUUCUUCAGUGGUUUGUGAACAGGGGUUGCCGUGAAAUGGAACUCUGUCUUGCCCUUACUGCUGCUACUUCCAGUAGCCAAGUUGAUGUUGCUGCAUAUCUGCUCCCUCAUGUACCUCAGCAUGUACUUGCGGCUCUCAGCAUUGAAAUUCUCAAGGCUGCUGGUGAGCGAAGUGGCGGGUCACUUGAUGGAGUGGCAUUUCUCCUUCGUUCUGAUUUCUUAGGUGAUCCUGCUGCUUCUUAUGCUGUUGCAGACACCAUUGCUAGGUCUGACGAUGAGGCUGUUGCCCCUGAGCUUAGGGCUUUUCUUCAGGAGCACUGGUCAGAGGCGGCAUUUUUGGAUGGAUUAAGACAAGGUGAAGAACAUUAUAUGAAUCUUGUAAGGAUUUUGAAUUGGGGUGGAUCUCCUAUGUGCAUAAGGGAUCUGCCAGGCCCUCUCAAGGUGGCAAUUGCUUACUUGCCACUGUAUAGGGAGUGUGUUGCAGCAGGUGGUAGUUUAUUUUCACAAAGGCUACGAGGGCAGCUUGUUGAAGCUGUGAGAAGACUUGGGGGUGGGUCUUUAGAAGGGGUGGGUCAGGGCAAAGAGCUCUUGGCUAUUUUGGAGCAUCACCUUCCUCCAUUUUUGGUUCACACCGACAGUGUUGGGUAGAAUGUUUCACGCUGCAGAUUUACAGUUUUACCCUUUGCACCUCAUAUGUGCUGUAGAAAAUAAAAUAUUUCAGCAGUGGUUAAGGUGAAAAGCUAAAGGUUUGCCAAUUUUCCUUCCAUAAUGUGGUUGGCUAAACUCCUAACAUAUCUCUGCACUCUCUAUAGCAUAUAUAAUCUGUGUUAAUGUAUGCGCAUGUUGACCUGUAAUAUAUAAGACGCAGAGCAAGUAUUGUUACAAAGGGUUGUAUAGUGCGAAUGUAUAUUAGCCGAGUAUAAUCUUUUUGUUAUCUUUGCUUCUUCUUUUUUUUUCCUUAUUUCCACCCUGUAUCUCUCGUCUUCGUCAUUAUUAUUAUCUUAAGGUACCAAUAAAAUUACUCUACUUGUGUUUUGGGGGUCAUGAAUUUGAGUCACGACUCACGGGAAUAGCCUCUACAAAACAGAAGUAAGACUGUGAAUAUCAAUUUUCUUUAAAGCCUCCAAGUGUGGGAUAAUUUAGGGUCUUUGCCAUUGAGCAGGUAGUGGAAUGGGAUCAUGAAUUGGAACAAUAGCAUUUCUUUUCCAUUUUAAAGUUCCUGACGUAGAAGAAAAGGAGUUAAGAGGUCAUAAAUGUUGGUCCGAGAAGAAGUGCAUGUUUAUUCAAUUCAAUUGUGAGUGACAGGAAGUAUCUCUGGUGGCCGGCGAGGUUGAAAUAGGUUUGAAGUAGGC
RNAcentral lists this unclassified non-coding RNA (3408 nucleotides) under Hevea brasiliensis (rubber tree). The record is from RNAcentral. Lineage: Eukaryota; Viridiplantae; Streptophyta; Magnoliopsida; Malpighiales; Euphorbiaceae.